GUAUUAGUUAUGAUCUUGAAACCCAAAGGAUUUGGCGGUGCUUUAGUCUUUUCAGAGGAAUCUGUCCCGUAAUCGAUGUUCCACGAUAUGUUUUACUUUUAUUUGUUUACAGUUUAUAUACCUCCGUCAUAAGAAUUUCUUUUUAGAGUUAAUUUUCUUAAAUAUUAAAUGUUCAUAUGUCAGGUCAAGGUUUAGCUUAYGUAAAAGAGGAGGUGGGUUACAAUAAAUAUAUUUAAUACGAAAAUUUAAUUUUAAUUUUGUUUUGAAGGCGGAUUUGAAAGUAAAUUAAUUUAUUUAAUUUUUUGAACUUAGCUCUAAAGCAUGCACACAUCGCCCG
RNAcentral lists this ribosomal RNA (337 nucleotides) under Rhinocypha tincta. RNAcentral describes it as "partial 12S ribosomal RNA". The record is from RNAcentral. Lineage: Eukaryota; Metazoa; Arthropoda; Insecta; Odonata; Chlorocyphidae.